UCACUCAGAUCAUUUGAGAGAACAGACCCUUUUCCAGACAUUUCAUCUUUUUUUAAAGCUUUCAUUUUGUAUCAAAAUGUUGUCAUAGGCUUAACCUUUUAUACCCUCCAUAAUAUGCUCGGCUGUUUAUUAGGCUACCUACAUAUUUUCACUUUCUCUCUCUCCCUCGUUUCCUGUAUCUCAUUGAAUAUGUGUGUGUCUCAACAAGCCUUAAUUUCCCCGUUCUUUCUCUACUUCUUUCAAUCAUCACCAAGGGCAAGGCAAAUGACGGAAUAAAUAGAUGCGUCAAACCCCUUUCAAACCUAUUUGCAAAGACAACACUUUAAAUCAAGCCAACAGUUCGUUCAUAUUAAAUAUUUUUUACCAUGAUAUUAUCCCCCAAACAAAGCUUGCUUUGCCCCUGAGCCGCCCAGAAAUGGAACCCUAGAAAUGGCGCCUAACAACAGGACAGCAUUUUUCGUGUGCGACCCAGGCUUCACGCUGAUUGGUCAUUCAGAGGUUACGUGUCAGAAUGGUUCUUGGAGCGAAAAAGCUCCAUCGUGCGUGCUGCGAGUCGUGAUCGAGACUUCAAUAUCCGGAGAAUACAGAACAGAGUCUGAGUUUAUUUUAUGGUGGAUAUUUGUGCUCUUCGUUAGUAUUACAGUCAUCGCUCUCAUCAUCGUCGUCAUUUUCAUUGCAUUUGGAGUGAAAGCGAAAUUGGCAACGCAGGGGGCUGCUUCAUCAGGCCAGCAAUACGACUUAGUGGAGAAUACGUAGCAACUGGUUAACGGGAUGCCGAAUAUAUGUAUUUGUUUUUGUCUCAUGCUUAAAUAACUCACAAUAAAUAUCUACAUUAUGCUGCGCUAAGCUGAGGUCAAGGACCCAAUUUCUGAACGGGAGCGGACUGGUCAUGAGAGGUUUGGGGAGUUCUUCCCACGGGCCGGUUGAUAUUUUGUAAUAGGAUUUACGGUCUGAUGGCCGGUUAAUACAUAUCCUAGAGUUUUAGUAGGUUCGUCACAUCGUACUCCCCUGGCAAACUUCAGUCCCAUACCUCUCCUGGUUUUAAAUUACUCACAACCUUAGGGAAAACAUCAAAAUGCUUUACGUCUUGAUUAUCACACUGCUAUUAAUGCAAUAUUUGCAUGCGAUUUGCGGUGACAUCUUAGCUUACCCGAAGACACCGAGACCGAAAUGAAAUAAGGGUCACUUAUUGCAUUUUGUUUCUUUAUGUUUCGGUCUCUGGAUCUUCUGACGGGCUGUAACAAGAUCCGCGAAGUGGCUGUCGGUCUCGUAAAAUUUCAGAAACUAAGGAGGUCAGUGAAAAUAACUUCUUGACUUCAGGGGUCUCUGAUCUCGCGGACCUUUUUGCUUAACGAAAUACAGCCGCGCCCAUCAUUAUAGUUUCCUCUCCGGCAAUAUGCUUUUGCUCAUGUUACAGCUCAAUGGCGUAUCUAGGGGGGUGUUGUGGGUUUUCAAACGACCCCCCCCCCCCCCCGUUGGCAAACAGGGGGUGUUUUAGGUGUUCACCAAUUUAGGUGUUUAAACAAUUAGUGCUACCCCCCCCCCCCCCGCUCAUUCGCCGGCUGGCUGAUUCACCGCUUAAUAUUUUCUCACGAAUUGGGCAAAUAAACACCUACCCUUACAAAAUCCUGGAUACGCCCUUGUAACAGCUUAGCGUAUAAUAACUCUCUUGAGAAAAAUGGGAAGAUUGUACAAUAUUUUAUUAUUUAUUUGUUUUAGGGGUAUUAUUUAAAGAAAUGAAGUAAACAUUAUGUGGGCAAUUUGAAAUAGUUUGGACAUUUUUACUAUUAAGUAUUAAAGUGUGACAUAAUAAUAAGUAUUAAAGUGUCACAUAAUAAUAAGUAUUUGAGUGUGACAUGAUAAUAAGUUUGUUCAAUACAACUGAAAAUUGAGUUUUGGUACCAGGUAUUUAACGAGCUUUUAGUAAUACAUGUAUAAUUUAUGGCCAGCACGCAAUUGUUUAUAACGGCGAGAGAGAAAAAAAAACACUAGUCUUUAUUUCCAUUAAUUGCUGGAGAAUUAAAUUUGAAUGGGGCUCCCAUAACCCGUGUGUCUAGAUAGACACCUCCAAGUUACCUCCCCGAAAAAAAAAUCUACCUUUUAAAAUUCAUUCGGUUAUAUAUACACAGAUAAAACGUUGUUUAAAUGCUAACAGUUCAUUACAAUACAACAGCUUGUUGAAUUUUUUAAACAGGUCUUAUUACUUGUAAACAACCCUUUUAAACGGUGUUUUGCAUAAUGAUCCAUUCCAAACAUAAUUAGACACGAACUCAAGCUAAGCUAAAAUAAAUUAGUUUAGCCGCAGAGGGAGCGAAACAAGUAUGACGAAUCUUUAAAUGGGUUGAAUAUUAAUCGCGGUUUUUCUGGCUUGAAAAAAGACGUCACGGUCUUCGGACACACACAAUGCUGCUUUUCGCGGGCAAAUCGCGCAUCCGGGAUUAACUCAAUACAGUCUCAGGUUAAAAAGCUGCAGCUUCUCGUACAUGAGAAUUAAUCCAAGGCGCCUUUUAAACUCGGCUAAGUGAUAUCAAUAUCAUAUUUUACAUUAUUACUUAGCCCAUAAGGCUAAGUAUAGACACCAAAUCCACCUUUCCAAGAUAGAUAUACACGAAUCACGAUUUACUAAUAUUUUAAGGUAGCUUACUGACGGCUAUCAUGGACGCCAUUUUGAAAAUUACCAUUUUCCGAGGGACCGUUUGUCUUAGAUUUUAGCACACAUAGGAGCAUCACCAUCCAGGCUGUGUAGUAUAAAACACAACACUGGCACCAGUACAUUAAAGCACAUUUUUUUAAAUACUACACUACGAUACAGUUAAAAAAAAACUGCUAAUAAUUUACAUGGGAUAUAACCCAUCACAAACAUAUAAAGAAUGGAACUUACAAGUUUCGUUGGUGUAAUUUUCCUUGGUUUCCAGACAUC
This 2920-nucleotide long non-coding RNA is filed under the name Strongylocentrotus purpuratus (purple sea urchin). RNAcentral's name for it is "uncharacterized LOC105438376". Lineage: Eukaryota; Metazoa; Echinodermata; Echinoidea; Camarodonta; Strongylocentrotidae. The record is from RNAcentral.